AGAGUUUGAUCCUGGCUCAGAAUGAACGUUGGUGGCGUGGAUUAGGCAUGCAAGUCGUGCGAGAAGGCCCCGCAGGGGGCCGGACAGCGGCGAACGGGGUAGUAAUGCGUCGGCACGUGCCCUGGGGCCCGGGAUAGCGGCGGGAAACUGCCGGUAAUACCGGAUGACCUCUCCGGAGCAAAGGUGUGAUUCCGCCCUCGGAGCGGCCGACGUGGUACCAGCUAGACGGCGGGGUAACGGCCCACCGUGGCAAACACGCCUAGGGGGUGUGAGAGCAUGGCCCCCACCACUGGGACUGAAACACUGCCCAAACACCUACGGGUGGCUGCAGUCAAGAAUCUUCGGCAAUGGGCGCAAGCCUGACCGAGCGGCGCCACGUGCGGGAUGACGGCCCUCGGGUUGUAAACCGCUGUCGGGGGGGGAAUAAGUCACCGGCGGGGCCCCUCCCCCGCGUGUUGACAGAGCCCCGAGAAGAAGCGCGGGCUAAGUACGUGCCAGCAGCCGCGGUAAGACGUACUGCGCGAACGUUAUUCAGAAUCACUGGGCUUAAAGGGGUGCGCAGGCGGCUU
This 569-nucleotide ribosomal RNA is filed under the name uncultured bacterium. RNAcentral's name for it is "bacterial SSU rRNA". It matches the Rfam family "Bacterial small subunit ribosomal RNA", at positions 8 to 581 of the family's 1533-position model. The record is from RNAcentral.